CUGUCGGUACCAAAGGUUCAGGGAGGCAUGGGGUUUAGAGAACUUGAGAAAUUCAAUCUGGCGCUUCUCGGGAAGCAUGGCUAGCGGCUAAUAACCCACCCCAACUCCCUUUGCUCUCGUGUCCUCAAGGGGAAAUAUUUCCCAGACUAUGACUUCAUGCAGGUCAAUGCUCCAUCCUCCUCAUCAGCGACAUGGAAAGCUAUUAUUGCAGGGAGAACAACACUGCAAGCGGGGUUGAUCAAUCGUGUUGGAAACGGUGAACCAAUCUCUAUCUGGAACGAUCCCUGGAUCCCCACAUCCUCUUCCCUCAAGCCCAUGGGGUUGCUAGGGAACGAUCCGCUCGAGCGUGUCUCGGAGCUUAUUGAUUCCAACAUGGGAUCUUGGGAUUGUGAAAAAGUACGACAUAACUUUCUUUCACCUGAUGUAGAGGCUAUAUUAAACAUUCCUAUUCGACGCAACGGUGGAGAAGAUUUCUUGGCAUGGGCCUUUGAAAGAUCCGGAGAGUACACUAUAAAAUCAGCCUACCGUGCUCUUGUGACUCAGAACGAGCGUCGAGCUCUAGAGGAAGGGACGACAGAGGGAACUUCAACUUCUCAGAAACAGUUGUGGACUGCUAUAUGGAAACUCAAAGUGGUCCCAAGAGUUCAUGUUUUCAUGUGGAGAGUUCUCAGGGAUACUGCCUGA
This 684-nucleotide ribosomal RNA is filed under the name Triticum aestivum (bread wheat). Its description in RNAcentral is "partial small subunit ribosomal RNA". Lineage: Eukaryota; Viridiplantae; Streptophyta; Magnoliopsida; Poales; Poaceae. The record is from RNAcentral.